Molecule: non-coding RNA, 771 nt
Organism: Coturnix japonica (Japanese quail)
Lineage: Eukaryota; Metazoa; Chordata; Aves; Galliformes; Phasianidae
Source: RefSeq, a predicted model, not a curated record
GGUUUUCUAUGGGUCCUGCCUUCCCCCCCAGCUGGAGCUACUCUACUUCCCCAAAUCGUGGCUGACCCACAGCGAGCAGUACAGAUGGUUCCAGCUGUGCUACCAAAGCUCCGUGUUCGUGUCUCGUUCCUCGUUGCGCUGCUGCCGCUUCCGACACGUCUGGAUCCUGGCACUAACACAGGGUCUGAUAGCGGCGACGCUGCUGUGGGCCGUGGCUUCUGAUUGGCUGCCGUCCUUUGGCCCCGCCCUCGCCCUUGUCCUAUUGGAGGGGACCGUCGGGGGCGGAGCUUAUGCAAAUGCCUACAGCAACAUCAAUGAGGAGGCCCCGCUCCGUUUCCGGUCUGUGUCUAUUUCCGUUUCCGCUUUGUCCGACUCCAUCGGAAUCGCGGCGGCGGCGGGAGCGGCCAUAGGGGCGCACAGAGCCCUGUGUCACGUGACGUAGGAACAGGAAGUGACGUCAGACAACCCGGAAGUGGCCGCUGUGGAGGAUAAUCCGGAAGUGGGGAAGAAACCGGAAGUUGAGGGAGACCGAAAGUAGGAGUGUGACCGGAUUUCGUUGUGGGAAAACAGGAAGUGACGACAUCGGACAGUGCGGAAGUGGGGGAGGGACCGGAAGUGGUGGAGUAAGCGGAAGUUGUGGUGAUUAAACAGGUAGUUGUGGAGAAACCGGAAGUGGGGGAGAAGAAUCGGAUGUGGUCAUUAAACAGGAAGUUGGGGGAGAGGGACCGGAAGUGGUUGUGAUUAAAGAGGAAGUUGUGGAGAAACCGGAAA